This 325-nucleotide ribosomal RNA is filed under the name uncultured eukaryote. RNAcentral describes it as "partial 18S ribosomal RNA". It matches the Rfam family "Eukaryotic small subunit ribosomal RNA", at positions 1470 to 1796 of the family's 1831-position model. The record is from RNAcentral.
CCCUUAGAUGUCCUGGGCCGCACGCGCGCUACACUGAUGCAUUCAACGAGUUUUACCUUGGCCGAGAGGCCUGGGCAAUCUUUUGAACCUGCAUCGUGAUAGGGAUAGAUUAUUGCAAUUAUUAAUCUUGAACGAGGAAUUCCUAGUAAACGCAGAUCAUCAAUCUGCACUGAUUACGUCCCUGCCCUUUGUACACACCGCCCGUCGCACCUACCGAUUGAAUGGUCCGGUGAAGCCUCGGGAUUGUGGCGAGUUCCCUUUAUUGGGAGUUUGUCGCGAGAACUUGUCUAAACCUUAUCAUUUAGAGGAAGGUGAAGUCGUAACA